Molecule: ribosomal RNA, 821 nt
Filed under: Staphylococcus aureus
Lineage: Bacteria; Bacillati; Bacillota; Bacilli; Caryophanales; Staphylococcaceae
Description: partial 23S ribosomal RNA
Rfam family: Bacterial large subunit ribosomal RNA
Source: RNAcentral
GGUGAAAAGCACCCCGGAAGGGGAGUGAAAUAGAACCUGAAACCGUGUGCUUACAAGUAGUCAGAGCCCGUUAAUGGGUGAUGGCGUGCCUUUUGUAGAAUGAACCGGCGAGUUACGAUUUGAUGCAAGGUUAAGCAGUAAAUGUGGAGCCGUAGCGAAAGCGAGUCUGAAUAGGGCGUUUAGUAUUUGGUCGUAGACCCGAAACCAGGUGAUCUACCCUUGGUCAGGUUGAAGUUCAGGUAACACUGAAUGGAGGACCGAACCGACUUACGUUGAAAAGUGAGCGGAUGAACUGAGGGUAGCGGAGAAAUUCCAAUCGAACCUGGAGAUAGCUGGUUCUCUCCGAAAUAGCUUUAGGGCUAGCCUCAAGUGAUGAUUAUUGGAGGUAGAGCACUGUUUGGACGAGGGGCCCCUCUCGGGUUACCGAAUUCAGACAAACUCCGAAUGCCAAUUAAUUUAACUUGGGAGUCAGAACAUGGGUGAUAAGGUCCGUGUUCGAAAGGGAAACAGCCCAGACCACCAGCUAAGGUCCCAAAAUAUAUGUUAAGUGGAAAAGGAUGUGGCGUUGCCCAGACAACUAGGAUGUUGGCUUAGAAGCAGCCAUCAUUUAAAGAGUGCGUAAUAGCUCACUAGUCGAGUGACACUGCGCCGAAAAUGUACCGGGGCUAAACAUAUUACCGAAGCUGUGGAUUGUCCUUUGGACAAUGGUAGGAGAGCGUUCUAAGGGCGUUGAAGCAUGAUCGUAAGGACAUGUGGAGCGCUUAGAAGUGAGAAUGCCGGUGUGAGUAGCGAAAGACGGGUGAGAAUCCCGUCCACCGAUU